CCCGCUCUCGGUGGCAGGAGCGUUGGAUUUCGACGAGUACCGGUUGACCCCAGCGCAGGAAGGACCCAAGAGGAGCCGGAGUAAAGCUUUCCGUAUCCCUGGGUUGAGCCGCAAGGAGAGGGAUCGUGACGCUGUGGAUUCCCCGGAUGCCGAGGUGGGCUGCCCGGAGGUGGAUGAGGACGGCUUCACCGUGCGCCCCGACAUCGCCCACAGUAUCCUUGUGCUGGGGGGGGCUGCGGGGCGUGAUUUUUGGGGUGUCCCAGUGCUGGGUGUUGCCUUGACGGGGGCUCAGCCGAGGCGGAGAACCACGUCUGCCCCUCCAGCGACUCCGACUACGACGAGGACGAACCCCGCAAGUUUUACGUCCACAUCAAGCCGGUGCAGCCCCGGGAGGCGGCCGGCAGCGCCGAGGCCACCAUGGAGCAGCUCAAAGCCACCGUGGGGAACCUCAUCCUGCCCCCCAGUAUUGGGGUGAGCCUGGAA
This 483-nucleotide long non-coding RNA is filed under the name Calidris pygmaea (Spoon-billed sandpiper). RNAcentral's name for it is "lncRNA (ENSCPGG00000011954.1)". The record is from RNAcentral. Lineage: Eukaryota; Metazoa; Chordata; Aves; Charadriiformes; Scolopacidae.